GCAUUAUACGGCGAAACUGCGAAUGGCUCAUUAAAUCAGUUAUCGUUUAUUUGAUAGUACCUUACUACUUGGAUAACCGUGGUAAUUCUAGAGCUAAUACAUGCUAAAAACCCCGACUCACGAAGGGGUGUAUUUAUUAGAUUAAAAACCAACGCCCUCCGGGGCUCACUGGUGAUUCAUGAUAACUUCUCGGAUCGCACGGCCUUGCGCCGGCGACGGUUCAUUCAAAUUUCUGCCCUAUCAACUUUCGACGGCUGGGUAUUGGCCAGCCGUGGUGACAACGGGUAACGGAGGGUUAGGGCUCGACCCCGGAGAAAACGCCUGAGAAACGGCGUUUACAUCCAAGGAAGGCAGCAGGCGCGCAAAUUACCCAAUGCCGACUCGGCGAGGUAGUGACGAUAAAUACUGGUACGGGGCUCUUUCGGGUCUCGUAACUGGAAUGAGUACAAUUUAAAUCCCUUAACGAGGAACAAUUGGAGGGCAAGUCUGGUGCCAGCAGCCGCGGUAAUUCCAGCUCCAAUAGCGUAUAUUAAAGUUGUUGAAGUUAAAAAGCUCGUAGUUGAACCUUGGGCCUGGCUGGCCGGUCCGCCUCACCGCGUGCACUGGUCCGGCCGGGCCUUUCCCUCCGGGGAGCCGCAUGCCCUUCACUGGGCGUGUCGGGGAACCGGGACUUUUACUUUGAAAAAAUUAGAGUGUUCAAAGCAGGCCUAUGCUCGGAUACAUUAGCAUGGAAUAAUAGAAUAGGACGCGCGGUUCUAUUUUGUUGGUUUCUAGGACCGCCGUAAUGAUUAAUAGGGACAGUCGGGGGCGUCAGUAUUCAAUUGUCAGAGGUGAAAUUCUUGGAUUUAUUGAAGACUAACUACUGCGAAAGCAUUCGCCAAGGAUGUUUUCAUUAAUCAGGAACGAAAGUUAGGGGAUCGAAGACGAUCAGAUACCGUCGUAGUCUUAACCGUAAACUAUGCCGACUAGGGAUCGGGCGGUGUUAUCUUUUGACCCGCUCGGCACC
Molecule: ribosomal RNA, 1006 nt
Filed under: Ophioceras sp.
Lineage: Eukaryota; Fungi; Ascomycota; Sordariomycetes; Magnaporthales; Ophioceraceae
Description: SSU rRNA
Rfam family: Eukaryotic small subunit ribosomal RNA
Source: RNAcentral